This 1378-nucleotide ribosomal RNA is filed under the name uncultured bacterium. Its description in RNAcentral is "16S ribosomal RNA". It matches the Rfam family "Bacterial small subunit ribosomal RNA". The record is from RNAcentral.
UUCGCCCUUAGAGUUUGAUCCUGGCUCAGGACGAACGCUGGCGGCGCGCCUAACACAUGCAAGUCGAACGAGCGAGAGAGAGCUUGCUUUCUCGAGCGAGUGGCGAACGGGUGAGUAACGCGUGAGGAACCUGCCUCAAAGAGGGGGACAACAGUUGGAAACGACUGCUAAUACCGCAUAAGCCCACGGUGCCGCAUGGCACAGAGGGAAAAGGAGCAAUCCGCUUUGAGAUGGCCUCGCGUCCGAUUAGCUAGUUGGUGAGGUAAUGGCCCACCAAGGCGACGAUCGGUAGCCGGACUGAGAGGUUGAACGGCCACAUUGGGACUGAGACACGGCCCAGACUCCUACGGGAGGCAGCAGUGGGGAAUAUUGCACAAUGGGGGAAACCCUGAUGCAGCGACGCCGCGUGGAGGAAGAAGGUCUUCGGAUUGUAAACUCCUGUUGUUGGGGAAGAUAAUGACGGUACCCAACAAGGAAGUGACGGCUAACUACGUGCCAGCAGCCGCGGUAAAACGUAGGUCACAAGCGUUGUCCGGAAUUACUGGGUGUAAAGGGAGCGCAGGCGGGAAGACAAGUUGGAAGUGAAAUCCAUGGGCUCAACCCAUGAACUGCUUUCAAAACUGUUUUUCUUGAGUAGUGCAGAGGUAGGCGGAAUUCCCGGUGCAGCGGUGGAAUGCGUAGAUAUCGGGAGGAACACCAGUGGCGAAGGCGGCCUACUGGGCACCAACUGACGCUGAGGCUCGAAAGUGUGGGUAGCAAACAGGAUUAGAUACCCUGGUAGUCCACACUGUAAACGAUGAUUACUAGGUGUUGGAGGAUUGACCCCUUCAGUGCCGCAGUUAACACAAUAAGUAAUCCACCUGGGGAGUACGACCGCAAGGUUGAAACUCAAAGGAAUUGACGGGGGCCCGCACAAGCAGUGGAGUAUGUGGUUUAAUUCGACGCAACGCGAAGAACCUUACCAAGUCUUGACAUCCCUUGACAGGCAUAGAAAUAUGUAAUCUCUUCGGAGCAAGGAGACAGGUGGUGCAUGGUUGUCGUCAGCUCGUGUCGUGAGAUGUUGGGUUAAGUCCCGCAACGAGCGCAACCCUUGCUAUUAGUUGCUACGCAAGAGCACUCUAAUAGGACUGCCGUUGACAAAACGGAGGAAGGUGGGGACGACGUCAAAUCAUCAUGCCCCUUAUGACCUGGGCUACACACGUACUACAAUGGAUGUUAACAGAGGGAAGCAAGACAGCGAUGUGGAGCAAACCCCUAAAAACAUUCUCAGUUCAGAUUGCAGGCUGCAACCCGCCUGCAUGAAGAUGGAAUUGCUAGUAAUCGCGGAUCAGCAUGCCGCGGUGAAUACGUUCCCGGGCCUUGCACACACCGCCCGUCA